GACGAACGCUGGCGGCGUGCCUAAUACAUGCAAGUAGAACGCUGAAGGAGGAGCUUGCUCUUCUGGAUGAGUUGCGAACGGGUGAGUAACGCGUAGGUAACCUGCCUGGUAGCGGGGGAUAACUAUUGGAAACGAUAGCUAAUACCGCAUAAGAGUAGAUGUCGCAUGACAUUUGCUUAAAAGGUGCAAUUGCAUCACUACCAGAUGGACCUGCGUUGUAUUAGCUAGUUGGUGAGGUAACGGCUCACCAAGGCAACGAUACAUAGCCGACCUGAGAGGGUGAUCGGCCACACUGGGACUGAGACACGGCCCAGACUCCUACGGGAGGCAGCAGUAGGGAAUCUUCGGCAAUGGACGGAAGUCUGACCGAGCAACGCCGCGUGAGUGAAGGAGGUUUUCGGAUCGUAAAGCUCUGUUGUAAGAGAAGAACGAGUGGAGAGGGAAAGUUCACA
Molecule: ribosomal RNA, 452 nt
Filed under: Streptococcus mitis
Lineage: Bacteria; Bacillati; Bacillota; Bacilli; Lactobacillales; Streptococcaceae
Description: bacterial SSU rRNA
Rfam family: Bacterial small subunit ribosomal RNA
Source: RNAcentral